AGUGAACGCUGGCGGUAGGCCUAACACAUGCAAGUCGAACGGCAGCACAGUAAGAGCUUGCUCUUACGGGUGGCGAGUGGCGGACGGGUGAGGAAUACAUCGGACUCUACUUUUUCGUGGGGGAUAACGUAGGGAAACUUACGCUAAUACCGCAUACGACCUACGGGUGAAAGCAGGGGAUCUUCGGACCUUGCGCGAUUGAAUGAGCCGAUGUCGGAUUAGCUGGUUGGCGGGGUAAAGGCCCACCAAGGCGGCGAUCCGUAGCUGGUCUGAGAGGAUGAUCAGCCACACUGGAACUGAGACACGGUCCAGACUCCUACGGGAGGCAGCAGUGGGGAAUAUUGGACAAUGGGGGCAAGCCUGAUCCAGCCAUACCGAGUGGGUGAAGAAGGCCUUCGGGUUGUAAAGCCCUUUUGUUGGGAAAGAAAAGCAGCAGGUUAAGACCCCGCUGUUCUGACGGUACCCAAAGAAGAAGCACCGGCUAACUUCGUG
Molecule: ribosomal RNA, 492 nt
Filed under: uncultured bacterium
Lineage: Bacteria
Description: partial 16S ribosomal RNA
Rfam family: Bacterial small subunit ribosomal RNA
Source: RNAcentral